GUGAGGAAUAUUGGUCAAUGGGCGGGAGCCUGAACCAGCCAAGUCGCGUGAAGGAAGAAGGAUCUAUGGUUCGUAAACUUCUUUUGCAGGGGAAUAAAGUGCAGGACGUGUCCUGUUUUGUAUGUACCCUGAGAAUAAGGAUCGGCUAACUCCGUGCCAGCAGCCGCGGUAAUACGGAGGAUCCGAGCGUUAUCCGGAUUUAUUGGGUUUAAAGGGUGCGUAGGUGGUGUGAUAAGUCAGCGGUGAAAGUUUGCAGCUUAACUGUAAAAAUGCCGUUGAAGCUGUCGGACUUGAGUGUAAAUGAGGUAGGCGGAAUGCGUGGUGUAGCGGUGAAAUGCAUAGAUAUCACGCAGAACUCCGAUUGCGAAGGCAGCUUACUAAGCUACAACUGACACUGAAGCACGAAAGCGUGGGGAUCAAACAGGAUUAGAUACCCGAGUAGUCC
Molecule: ribosomal RNA, 445 nt
Filed under: uncultured bacterium
Lineage: Bacteria
Description: partial 16S ribosomal RNA
Rfam family: Bacterial small subunit ribosomal RNA
Source: RNAcentral